AUGUGUCCGAGGGGACACCCGCACCACACCUCGCCCACAGGUCUCCAUCACCUCUCGCACUCCCCCUCCUUCCUCCCAGGCUGCUCGCUUGGGCAGGAACAUGGCCCCGGCCCUCGGGCACGGGCUGGGUUCGGUGGGAGCGGCCAGGCCGGCUCUGCUCUGGGCUGUUUCGGCCGGCGCCGGGGGCCAGAGGGACCCCGGCUUCCAACCUCGCCCCCCCGGUGUCACCCAGCCUCUCUCCAGCCCUCCCGUGAGCUCGGCUUCGCUCAGCCCGGUCCCUGCUGGUUCCCCCAGCCCCCACCGGAGGGAACAGGUGGGGACCAGAUUCCUAUCCCAGGUCGAGAAGUCCCUGGUGGAGGCAGUAACCCAGGAAACAGAACAGGGCCAUCCCCGGAGAUGUUCCUCCAUGCCAGCGACACCCGGGUCCCCAAAGCUCAGCACGCCGGGGGAUCCGGCUGGGACAGCGCCUUGGGGGACCGCCCGCUGUCCGAGAGCGGCCGAGGCAGCGCUCCCUGUGAGGGGAACAGCCCCCAUUCCCCAUCCCCAUCAGCCACCCCACGCACAGGAACACCCCCAGGGAACCCAGAGCUGCUGGGGGGCACCUUCUGCCCCCCUAUCACCGACCUGUCACCUCGGCACCCCCACACCCGGCGCCCCCCGACACCCAAUCACCCAUCGCAUCCCGGUCUCCCACCGGGGACGUCCCUCUGGGCGUUGUCACCUCCCGGCCGUUUGCCCCCGACACUUGUCAGCCCAAACCUCGGUCAAACCCCGUCCGGUAUCACCCGGUCAGCCCAAAUCUCGGUCAAACCCCGUCCGGUAUCUCCCGGUCCCGCCGCCUUACCGCGCUCCCGGUGCGAGCGGACCCGCCGGAGCCUCCGCGUCCUCCGAUCCCCGGAGCCGCUCGGCCCCGCCCGGCCCCGCCCCGGCCCGCCCCGCCCCGGUACCCUCCCUCCACCCCCGGGCUGCCCAACCAGAGCCACAACCGGCCGCCCUGGAAAGAAAAUUCCAUCAUUAGGCUUUAGAGGGAACACCGCGCAGCUACUGACGGGCGGCGGCAGCAGCCUCUGGUCCGUCCCUCGGCUCAGGUGUCACCGCAUCCCCGCUCCGUGCCCCCCAAACUGGUUUCCAGACCUCUUAAUAAAACUGCCCCCAGGCACCCCCACCCCCGCGGCUUCACUUGUUGGGCUAUAA
This 1194-nucleotide long non-coding RNA is filed under the name Serinus canaria (Common canary). RNAcentral describes it as "lncRNA (ENSSCAG00000006281.1)". Lineage: Eukaryota; Metazoa; Chordata; Aves; Passeriformes; Fringillidae. The record is from RNAcentral.